RNAcentral lists this transfer RNA (77 nucleotides) under Gammaproteobacteria bacterium. Its description in RNAcentral is "tRNA-Met". It matches the Rfam family "tRNA". From Rfam's summary of the family: Transfer RNA (tRNA) molecules are approximately 80 nucleotides in length. Their secondary structure includes four short double-helical elements and three loops (D, anti-codon, and T loops). Lineage: Bacteria; Pseudomonadati; Pseudomonadota; Gammaproteobacteria. RNAcentral also lists the same sequence under 1 other name. The record is from RNAcentral.
GGCUAUGUAGCUCAGUUGGUUAGAGCGUGGCACUCAUAACGCCGAGGUCGGUGGUUCAAGUCCACCCAUAGCCACCA